GACGAACGCUGGCGGCGUGCUUAACACAUGCAAGUCGAACGGAAAGGCCCUGCUUUUGUGGGGUGCUCGAGUGGCGAACGGGUGAGUAACACGUGAGUAACCUGCCCUUGACUUUGGGAUAACUUCAGGAAACUGGGGCUAAUACCGGAUAGGAGCUCCUGCUGCAUGGUGGGGGUUGGAAAGUUUCGGCGGUUGGGGAUAGACUCGCGGCUUAUCAGCUUGUUGGUGGGGUAGUGGCUUACCAAGGUUUCGACGGGUAGCCGGCCUGAGAGGGUGACCGGCGACAAUGCGACUGAGGGACGGCCCAGACGCGUACGGGAGGCAGCGGGGGGGAGUAUUACGCAGUGGGGGGGAGCCUGAUACAGCAACGCCGCGAGCGUGAUGACGUCCUUCGAGUUAUGAACCGCUUUCGCCGUAGACGAAGCGUUAGUGACGGUAAUGGGUAAAGAAGCACCGGCUAACUACGUG
Molecule: ribosomal RNA, 468 nt
Filed under: uncultured bacterium
Lineage: Bacteria
Description: partial 16S ribosomal RNA
Rfam family: Bacterial small subunit ribosomal RNA
Source: RNAcentral